Molecule: ribosomal RNA, 510 nt
Filed under: uncultured bacterium
Lineage: Bacteria
Description: bacterial SSU rRNA
Rfam family: Bacterial small subunit ribosomal RNA
Source: RNAcentral
CUGGCGGCGUGCCUAAUACAUGCAAGUCGAACGGCUUUUCUAUGGAAGCUUGCUUCCACUGAGAAGAUAGUGGGCGAACGGGUGAGUAACACGUGGGUAACCUGCCCAUAAGAGGGGGAUAACAUCCGGAAACGGGUGCUAAUACCGCAUAGUUUUCUUGAUCGCAUGAUCGGGAAAGGAAAGACGGCCUUUGUGCUGUCGCUUAUGGAUGGACCCGCGGCGUAUUAGUUAGUUGGUGAGGUAACGGCUCACCAAGACGAUGAUACGUAGCCGACCUGAGAGGGUGAUCGGCCACAUUGGGACUGAGACACGGCCCAAACUCCUACGGGAGGCAGCAGUAGGGAAUCUUCCGCAAUGGACGAAAGUCUGACGGAGCAACGCCGCGUGAGUGAAAGAAGGUUUUCGGAUCGUAAAACUCUGUUGUCAGAGAAGAACAAGUUGGAGAGUAACUGCUCCAGCCUUGACGGUAUCUGACCAGAAAGCCACGGCUAACUACGUGCCAGCCGCCGC